CCUACGGGAGGCAGCAGUGGGGAAUAUUGGACAAUGGGGGGAACCCUGAUCCAGCGACGCCGCGUGAGUGACGAAGUUUUUCGGUAUGUAAAGCUCUAUCAGCAGGGAAGAAAGACAUGACGGUCCCUGCCUAACAAGCCCCGGCUAACUACGUGCCAGCAGCCGCCGUAAUACGUAGGGGGCAAGCGUUCGCCGGAUUUACUGGGUGUACAGGGAGCGUAGACGGCGAUGCAAGUCUGAAGUGCAAGGCGGGGGUCCAACCCCCGGACUGCUGUGGAAACUGUAUGGCUGGAGUGCAGGAGAGGUAAGUGGAAUGCCGAGGGUAGCGGUGAAAUGCGUAGAUAGUAGGAGGAACACCAGUGGCGAAGGCGGCUUACUGGACGGGAACGGACGUUGAGGCUCGAAAGCGUGGGGAGCAAACAGGAUUAGAUACCCAAGUAGUC
RNAcentral lists this ribosomal RNA (443 nucleotides) under uncultured bacterium. RNAcentral's name for it is "partial 16S ribosomal RNA". It matches the Rfam family "Bacterial small subunit ribosomal RNA", at positions 338 to 795 of the family's 1533-position model. The record is from RNAcentral.